UGCAGUCGAACGAUGAUCCCAGCUUGCUGGGGGAUUAGUGGCGAACGGGUGAGUAACACGUGAGUAACCUGCCCUUGACUCUGGGAUAAGCCUGGGAAACUGGGUCUAAUACCGGAUAUGACUCCUCAUCGCAUGGUGGGGGGUGGAAAGCUUUUGUGGUUUUGGAUGGACUCGCGGCCUAUCAGCUUGUUGGUGGGGUAAUGGCCUACCAAGGCGACGACGGGUAGCCGGCCUGAGAGGGUGACCGGCCACACUGGGACUGAGACACGGCCCAGACUCCUACGGGAGGCAGCAGUGGGGAAUAUUGCACAAUGGGCGCAAGCCUGAUGCAGCGACGCCGCGUGAGGGAUGACGGCCUUCGGGUUGUAAACCUCUUUCAGUAGGGAAGAAGCGUAAGUGACGGUACCUGCAGAAGAAGCGCCGGCUAACUACGUGCCAGCAGCC
RNAcentral lists this ribosomal RNA (444 nucleotides) under Arthrobacter sp. SA_17. RNAcentral describes it as "bacterial SSU rRNA". It matches the Rfam family "Bacterial small subunit ribosomal RNA", at positions 56 to 516 of the family's 1533-position model. Lineage: Bacteria; Bacillati; Actinomycetota; Actinomycetes; Micrococcales; Micrococcaceae. The record is from RNAcentral.